Long non-coding RNA from Etheostoma cragini (Arkansas darter), 198 nucleotides. RefSeq lists it as uncharacterized. The record is from RefSeq and is a predicted model, not a curated record. NCBI's taxonomy places the organism in Eukaryota, Metazoa, Chordata, Actinopteri, Perciformes, Percidae. The transcript is spliced from 3 exons.
CACUAUAAAGACCGUUGCUGUGCUUGCGUCACUCCCUUACCCCUCCGACCAGUUCCUAUGGCCACUUGGCUAGUGCAAAUGCAAAUGGUAAAACAGUUUUGGGGGAGAGUAGUUUGUAGAACUGUUUAAAAGUGGACUAUUCCUAUAACUACGUUCAUGUAACUACUUGGUCAGAAAACGGCUUAUAACAACAAAAGG